ACGAACGCUGGCGGCGUGCCUAAUACAUGCAAGUAGAACGCUGAAGGAGGAGCUUGCUUCUCUGGAUGAGUUGCGAACGGGUGAGUAACGCGUAGGUAACCUGCCUGGUAGCGGGGGAUAACUAUUGGAAACGAUAGCUAAUACCGCAUAAUAGUAGAUGUUGCAUGACAUUUGCUUAAAAGGUGCAAUUGCAUCACUACCAGAUGGACCUGCGUUGUAUUAGCUAGUUGGUGAGGUAACGGCUCACCAAGGCGACGAUACAUAGCCGACCUGAGAGGGUGAUCGGCCACACUGGGACUGAGACACGGCCCAGACUCCUACGGGAGGCAGCAGUAGGGAAUCUUCGGCAAUGGACGGAAGUCUGACCGAGCAACGCCGCGUGAGUGAAGAAGGGUUUCGGAUCGUAAAGCUCGGUUGUAAGAGAAGAACGAGUGUGAGAGUGGAAAGUUCACACUGUGACGGUAUCUUACCAGAAAGGGACGGCUAACUACGUG
RNAcentral lists this ribosomal RNA (494 nucleotides) under uncultured bacterium. Its description in RNAcentral is "partial 16S ribosomal RNA". It matches the Rfam family "Bacterial small subunit ribosomal RNA", at positions 29 to 507 of the family's 1533-position model. The record is from RNAcentral.